AAGUCGUAACAAGGUAACCGUAGGUGAACCUGCGGUUGGAUCAUUAAAAAAUGUAAAUUGUCCCUUGCUUAUUAUUUAAGCUUGGGCUUUUUCAACACAGUGUCUUGGUCGCAUUAGUGAGUGCUGGUGCUUCUCUCUAGCGGGCACUGCUUCAACUCUUUCUUAACUGAAGGGGAAGGAGUAGUUAGUUCUCUGGGGGGAUGAUUACUAGCGUUUUGCUGUGUGUGCUAAGGCAUUUUCUACGCAUAUACUUUAGUCUAUAUCUUAAACAACUCUAGUUGUAAAAUAGCAAUAUUAAACAACUUUUGGCAACGGAUCUCUAGGCUCUU
Molecule: unclassified non-coding RNA, 329 nt
Filed under: fungal sp.
Lineage: Eukaryota; Fungi
Description: partial internal transcribed spacer region
Rfam family: Eukaryotic small subunit ribosomal RNA (bases 1-46)
Source: RNAcentral